AAAUAUUAUAUGGAAUGAAAAUAUCAGACCUCAGACGAGAGGAGGAGCUCAGCAGGAGGUGGAAUGUUUCCUCUGUGAAGAAGAUUAAAGUAGGAGUGACUCACAGUGAGCUCUAUACUGUACUCUAGUAGCCACCUCCACAAUGUUGCUGUUUCAACUCAUCUCAUGUUGGGCCCUGGCAGGUGUUGGUUUGGGGAACAAGAUCACUCCAGACAGAACCGAAGUCUUUACAGAGGAAGGACUGAAUGUUACCUUGUCCUGUAAUUACUCUUCUGCUCAAACUCUACAGUGGUACAUUCAGUAUCCCAGAUCAGCUCCCCAGUUCCUCCUGCUUGUGCUACAUGGCACUGGGGAAGACCCGAGCUCAGGCAAACAUCCCCGCCUGAUGGGGAAACUAAACAAAGAGAAAACUCAAGUUUUUCUGCAGAUCUCCUCUGUUCAAGUCUCUGACUCUGCACUGUACUACUGUGCUCUGACGCCCACAGUGACACAACACCAAAGACUGCCAUACAAAAACCUGAAUGUCACUGAAUGUGAAGAAAUUCAAGAUGAAGAGAGAGGUAUGACACGCAGAGUCCAGAUUUAGCUGCAUUGUCGAUGGCAUAUAUCACUGUUCAACCAUAAAAUACUGAAAGACAUUUAAAGACACUACCCAUUCUAGCUGCUUAUU
Clupea harengus (Atlantic herring) is the source of this 670-nucleotide non-coding RNA. The record is from the annotation of a RefSeq genome assembly. NCBI's taxonomy places the organism in Eukaryota, Metazoa, Chordata, Actinopteri, Clupeiformes, Clupeidae.